This 813-nucleotide ribosomal RNA is filed under the name uncultured bacterium. RNAcentral describes it as "bacterial SSU rRNA". It matches the Rfam family "Bacterial small subunit ribosomal RNA", at positions 690 to 1502 of the family's 1533-position model. The record is from RNAcentral.
GNAGANGAUUUGAAGNANANCNUGUGNGUGAAGGGNGGCCCCCCGUGCAGAUCUGACACUCACAUACGAAAGCGUGGGGAGCAAACANGAUUAGAUNCCCUGGUAGUCCNCGCCGUAAACGAUGUCUACUUGGAGGUUGUGGCCUGAGCCGUGGCUUUCGGAGCUAACGCGUUAAGUAGACCGCCUGGGGAGUACGGUCGCAAGAUUAAAACUCAAAUGAAUUGACGGGGGCCCGCACAAGCGGUGGAGCAUGUGGUUUAAUUCGAUGCAACGCGAAGAACCUUACCUACUCUUGACAUCUACAGAAGCCAGCGGAGACGCAGGUGUGCCUUCGGGAACUGUAAGACAGGUGCUGCAUGGCUGUCGUCAGCUCGUGUUGUGAAAUGUUGGGUUAAGUCCCGCAACGAGCGCAACCCUUAUCCUUGUUUGCCAGCACUUCGGGUGGGAACUCCAGGGAGACUGCCGGUGAUAAACCGGAGGAAGGUGGGGACGACGUCAAGUCAUCAUGGCCCUUACGAGUAGGGCUACACACGUGCUACAAUGGCGCAUACAGAGGGCGGCCAACUUGCGAAAGUGAGCGAAUCCCAAAAAGUGCGUCGUAGUCCGGAUUGGAGUCUGCAACUCGACUCCAUGAAGUCGGAAUCGCUAGUAAUCGUGGAUCAGAAUGCCACGGUGAAUACGUUCCCGGGCCUUGUACACACCGCCCGUCACACCAUGGGAGUGGGCUGCAAAAGAAGUGGGUAGUUUAACCUUCGGGAGGACGCUCACCACUUUGUGGUUCAUGACUGGGGUGAAGUCGUAACAAGGUAACCG